Molecule: ribosomal RNA, 433 nt
Filed under: uncultured bacterium
Lineage: Bacteria
Description: partial 16S ribosomal RNA
Rfam family: Bacterial small subunit ribosomal RNA
Source: RNAcentral
AACGAACGCUGGCGGCAUGCCUAACACAUGCAAGUCGAACGAGACCUCCGGGUCUAGUGGCGCACGGGUGCGUAACGCGGGGGAACCUGCCCUUGGGUUCGGAAUAACUCCCCGAAAGGGGAGCUAAUACCGGAUAAGGUCUUCGGACCAAAGAUCUAUUGCCGUUGGAUGGGCCCGCGUAGGAUUAGCGAGUUGGUAGGGUAAAAGCCUACCAAGGCGACGAUCCAUAGCUGGUCUGAGAGGAUGAUCAGCCACACUGGGACUGAGACACGGCCCAGACUCCUACGGGAGGCAGCAGUGGGGAGUAUUGGACAAUGGGCGAAAGCCUGAUCCCGCAAUGCCGCGUGAGUGAUGAAGGCCUUAGGGUUGUAAAGCUCUUUUACCCGGGAUGAUAAUGACAGUACCGGGAGAAUAAGCUCCGGCUAACUCCGUG